Molecule: transfer-messenger RNA, 352 nt
Filed under: Dehalococcoidia
Lineage: Bacteria; Bacillati; Chloroflexota
Also listed under: 1 other name
Description: JAGWBF01 sp021296025 Standard tmRNA
Rfam family: transfer-messenger RNA
About the family: Bacterial tmRNA, also known as 10Sa RNA or SsrA, is named for its dual tRNA and mRNA-like properties. Its role is to liberate the mRNA from a stalled ribosome.
Source: RNAcentral
GGGGACGCGUGGGUUCGACAGGGGAACAUCCUGGAGGAUCGCAGGCCGAGGUGCCAUCCACCUCGUUAAACAGGUGGCAAAACAAUAACUGGCGAUCGUGAACUCGCCCUAGCCGCCUAAACUGGCGGCUCGUCUGCCCCGACUAUACCUGGAGGUUGGGUAACAGGCGCCAUAAAUCCGGGUUGCAGCUUCCUAGACGCCGAUACGGGUAGCUCAAGAAACAUCGGCUGAGGCCUGCCAUGUUAUGCCGGUGAAGCACGGCAGGGCGAGAGUUAAGGACCGGAUAAGCCUGUAGGAUAUCUAGCUGGGUUGCCUUCUGGACGGGGAGUUCGACCCUCCCCCGUCUCCACCA